GCUGGAACUCUAAAAUAAAGGCUAUGAACAGAUGGAAGAGGGAUUGGAGAUUUAUUUAUUGGAUGAAUGGCUUCUAGGUAGAGGUGUUGGGCUUUAUUUAUAAGUGUUAGGAGAUGUCAAAUUUAUUGGGCUAGACAAUGUGGGAUUAAUGAAAGGAUGGAAACAAGGAUUGGAGGCUAGGGUUUUGUAAGUAGAUUUGUGAGAGCCAUAAAUAAUGGAGGGUUGAGAUUUUAUUUAGGGAUCAAGGGCCAUUAGAUGGUGAGAAAAGAAGAGGCAUUGGAUAUGAAAGGAAGAAAGAAAGAAAAAAGGAAAGCGGG
RNAcentral lists this long non-coding RNA (317 nucleotides) under Elaeis guineensis (African oil palm). RNAcentral's name for it is "long non-coding RNA (EGUI_LNC052486)". The record is from RNAcentral. Lineage: Eukaryota; Viridiplantae; Streptophyta; Magnoliopsida; Arecales; Arecaceae.